This 561-nucleotide long non-coding RNA is filed under the name Parus major (Great Tit). RNAcentral describes it as "lncRNA (ENSPMJG00000001039.1)". The record is from RNAcentral. Lineage: Eukaryota; Metazoa; Chordata; Aves; Passeriformes; Paridae.
GGAGACCUUUGUUAUCUACAAUAACUGAUAUUGUGUUUUACAGAGAUGUGACUGUUUUCCUCAACUGACUGUAAGAGGAGUGAGGACCUGGCAGCUGGAAGGGGAGAUGGCCUGAAUUUCUUAUCAAUCUCUUGAUCUUAUACUCCUUGAGAGGGUGAAACAGAACAGGAAACCUGGUUUUGCUUCAGUUCUCAGUAUUUGAAAUCCAGUGGGACCUUUUGGUACAAAAGCUCAAUUUGGACUUGAUGGGAACCCAGUUUACUAGUUUAAGUCACUGUUGGCUAAUACAGCUUGAAGCUGUUCCACAAUAAAGCACAACAUUCAGCUGUGAGCUUUAUCACUGGGACUCAUCUGACCUUUCCCAGGCCUCUGAAGGGAAGGACCAGGCCUGUCUUUGGCUUUCGAUUCAGCAGACAGGGACUGUCUGGUGUCAAAGAGAACCAGAGGCAGCACCCUGCUUGAGUAAAAUUACUUGUUUUUGUGUGCCAUGUCUCUCAUUUUUAAAGAGAGCUUUGUACAACCUUGUGACAGUUUCAACUAUGACUUUGAAAAAAACCUGGG